ACUCCUACGGGAGGCAGCAGUGGGGAAUAUUGCACAAUGGACGAAAGUCUGAUGCAGCAACGCCGCAGUGGAGGAUGACACAUUUCGGUGCGUAAACUCCUUUUAUAUAGGGAAGAUGAUUGACGGUACUAUAUGAAAUAAGCNCCCGGGCUAAACUCCGGUGCCAGCAGCCGCGGUAAUACGGAGGGUGCAAGCGUUACUCGGAAUCACUGGGCGUAAAGAGCGUGUAGGCGGAUAGAUAAGUCAGGAGUGAAAUCCUAUGGCUCAACCAUAGAACUGCUCUUGAAACUGUCAAUCUAGAAUGUGGGAGAGGUAGAUGGAAUUUCUGGUGUAGGGGUAAAAUCCUAGAGAUCAGAAGGAAUACCGAUUGCGAAGGCGAUCUACUGGAACAUAAUUGACGCUGAGACGCGAAAGCGUGGGAGCAAACAGGAUUAGAUACCCUGGUAGACUGUCAU
RNAcentral lists this ribosomal RNA (455 nucleotides) under uncultured bacterium. RNAcentral describes it as "bacterial SSU rRNA". It matches the Rfam family "Bacterial small subunit ribosomal RNA", at positions 335 to 803 of the family's 1533-position model. The record is from RNAcentral.